AUGAUUUCUGUUCAUUUCUUCUUUAUUGUUCGGCGAGAAAUGAAGUCCCAGAAAUGGAACAGGAGCCCUCGGACAGCUUCAGCUCCCUCCUGGAGGUGCCUGGGGAGUCCAACCAGGAACAAGCAGGCAAGGCUGGCAUUGAAAGCCCCCAGCUGGCUGGCAUGCAGCAGAAUCACAACUCACAGCCUGAGGAACAGUGGCCACAGCUUCCUGUGUUCCGCAAGCCUCUCUGCCUCAGUAACAGCAUGGUUUUGGACAAGCGCCUGUGUCAUGAGGUUCUCGGGUUCCUGAGUUCCGAGUACUGUGCUUUGAACUGGGGAUCAGAGUGCCAUAAUCUUGGAGUCCUGCAGACUGGAUCUCCUAAGGCUAAUCACCUGCAUGAACUGCUCUGUGGAAUUUAUUUGCCCUCCCACCCAUCUGGCCUUUCCAAGAGCUGAUAGCACCGUGGGACAGGUCAGACCAGGAAACCAAGGCACAAGGAUUCUUAGGAAGCGGCGAGACCCAGGUCUGCCUAACCUUAAGACGUCAGAUGUUGUGUCUUUCCUCAAGGACCUCCGCAGCCAAAACUAAUCAGUACAGAGCUUCCAGAGAAGCAGACCCCUCUACCCCUGCCCCAGGUGCUUGAAGUGGCGUCCAGGGUACGGCUUUCUUAUUUGUAAGCAGAAAUGAAACCCCUGGGAGGAGACAUUCCAGAGCCAUUUCACUUUUACUUGAACAUGAGCAGUGCCUGCUCAUGUGCAGAUGCGAUCACUGCGCUUGUGACAGUAAAAAUACCAACGGUGUCAUUAGCGGCAACCCUCCUGGGCAUGCCCAUGCUCUAACGACCUGAGCGUCUUCCCUGCUCUUUACAAGAAGCCGCCUUUCUGAGGCGCUCAGUCUUACGGGUUCUUUCCUUCAGAGAUGAGCCUGGAUUCUUGUUUUGGACCCACAUUUCUUGGUGCAGAAGCAGCAGCCAAGAACGAGGCCUGGGAUUCAGCCAAACCUGGCUUUGAAUUCUUGCUGUAUCCGUGAGCACAACACUCAGCCUCUCGAGCCUCUGGCAGGACGGGGGACACCUCCUACUGAGAGCUUGCUCUGGGCAUUUUGUGGAUAAAAGCCAACAAGUGACUGCAUCUUUAAAUGCCAUUUAUCAUCAUCAGUCCUUUCCGGAAUGACCUGGGGCCUCCUUUCCUUCACUGGCCUCCAAAAGUCAUUUCACUGGGCUGUGGAAAUCAAACAGUGGUUCCUCCCCACCAAGAAGAGUUGAAUGUUGCCCUGAAAUUACCAAUAAUUUUUCUCCGGCUGUUCCGUCAUUGAGCGGAGCAGAAGUUGGCCAAGUUUCUCUGUCAACGCCCAGAUAGUAUGGGUUUUAGGAAGGUGGUCCACACUGUUUCUGUCACCAUUACUCGACUUUGUGGAUGUCAUGUGAAGGCCGCCGUAGAUGGUAAGUGUUGUACAAGCAUCCCUGUGUCCAGAGAGAAUGUAUUUACCAAAGCAGGCUGGGAUUGGCGCACGGGCCAUGGUCUGCAGAUUCCUGCUCUGUCGAAUGGGGAGGUUCUGGGUCUCAGGCUGGAAUUGGCAGCAUGAAUGCUCCACGGUCUCUGCCCUGGAGGGUCGCCCCAGUGACACACCUACCCUUGCACAGUCAGGGGGCGGGGGAGUGGGGAGUGUGCUGUUUGCAAGGAGACAGCUUCCAAGGUGAUAGACGUGGCAGGAACCUUCUGUUGUCCCUGUAGUCUGAUGUCUCCAGCAGGUUCACCCAGAUGUACCCUCAUCCGCUGCUGGGUGAUACGGAACUGCUCAGAUCUGUCACUCUAACAGCCACAAUACCUGUUACUGUUCUUGAGUGCUGCUUAGUGGCCCCAGCUGGGCUCCAAGUGACCCUUGCAGUUGUGUCUGCAUCUACAUGUACUUGGGGAAGUCCUGCAUGCGCUCUCCACUUACCCACAAUUCUAGCAAGGGCGGAUUUGGAUGCUCGUGUUUGCACAAACCUUACACUUUUCUUUGGCAUCUCCUGGUUGCUCUGUGCCUCAUUUUCUCUGGCCACUCAGUGGGAGAUAAGGGUGAAAUGAGAAUGAAUGAGGUGGUUUGUUAGUGGUUUCUUUUUUUAUUAUUUAAAAAUUUUUUUUAAUUUACAUCCAAAUUAGCAUAUAGUGUAACAAUGAUUUCAGAACUAGAUUCCUUAGUGCCCCUUAUCCAUUUAGCCCACUGCCCCUCCCAGAACCCUCAGUUCUCCAUAUUUAUGACUCUCUUCUGUUUUGUCCCCUUCCCUGUUUUUAUUUUUGUUUCCCUUCCCUUAUGUUCAUCUGUUUUGUCUCUUUAAGUCCUCAUAUGAGUGAAAUCAUAUGAUUUUUGUCUUUCUCUAAUUUCACUUAGCAUAGUACCCUCCAGUUCCAUCCACAUAGUUGCAAAUGGGAAGAUUUCAUUCUUUUUGAUUGCUGAGUAAUACUCCAUUGUAUAUAUGUACUACAUCUUCUUUAUCCGUUCAUGGUUCAGUGGACAUUUGGGCUCUUUCCAUACUUUGGCUACUGUUGAUAGUGCUGCUAUAAACAUGGGGGUGCAUGGGUCCCUUCAAAACAGCACACCUGUAUCCCGUGAAUAAAUGGCUAGUAGUGCAAUAGCUGGGUCGUAGG
Molecule: long non-coding RNA, 2612 nt
Filed under: Felis catus (domestic cat)
Lineage: Eukaryota; Metazoa; Chordata; Mammalia; Carnivora; Felidae
Description: lncRNA (ENSFCAG00000050513.1)
Source: RNAcentral